This is a long non-coding RNA of Anolis sagrei ordinatus, 236 nucleotides long. RefSeq lists it as uncharacterized. The record is from RefSeq and is a predicted model, not a curated record. Lineage: Eukaryota; Metazoa; Chordata; Lepidosauria; Squamata; Anolidae.
GUGUGGAUAUAAGUUCCAGGCACAGUCAGGUGGGACAAGACUCAGGCGGGACAUGAACAAGUCAUCCUCAAGGCUUGCAUUGGAAUGCAUCUGCUGAAAUGUACCAAGAGGAUAUGCCUCUGCUGAUCCAUGAAAGGAAAAGCCAUCCAAGCAUCACAGAAGGUGUGAAAUGUACCCCAUUGCCUUGAAAGCACUUGAAGAUGAGCCAAUUGUUUCUCGAAAAGUACUGGGCAGAG